RNAcentral lists this long non-coding RNA (2720 nucleotides) under Homo sapiens (human). RNAcentral's name for it is "non-protein coding lnc-VGLL4-6:4". The record is from RNAcentral. Lineage: Eukaryota; Metazoa; Chordata; Mammalia; Primates; Hominidae.
GAGCCGCUCCGAGGGGCCCACCCGCGAGCAGCGGGGAAGGCGGGGACCCGGGCCCCGCGGGCCUGCAGCGCCCCCGCACCCGGUUCCACGCGCCCAGGGCCGCCCCCGCGGAGAGAGGGGGCGCGAGGGGCGCGCCUCUCGCUCGGACACCCUCUCCCAGCUCGCGCCCCAGGUGAGAAAAUGAAGGCACAGAGAGAUUGAGUAACUUGCACAAGGUCACAUGUAGGAGAACUGAGCAUCCACCCUACUCAGCCUGGCCCCAAGGUCCAAGGUAACUUAAACCCAAUUAUAAAUGGCUUUGGCUAUAAAGUGUUCUUGAAUGAAAACGUUUAGGAAGUAGGCCUGGAUUCAGAUGCUUCAGAGGCUCAAAGGAAACAGGAAUCGUGGCUAACCAAAUCCAGCCCAACUGCUUCCUUGUUCACAUGGGGAAAUCGAGGAAGGCCCGGGGAGAGGAAGGCCUGGGGAGAGGAAGUUACUUGCCCAAGUUGCCCAGUUAAUUAGCCACAGAACCCAUGUCCCCCAACUCUGAAACAAGUUCCAGUUAAAGUCUUCACUGAUAACUUUAAAUCCUCCACUAACCAAGGGAGUCAUCUUUGCAUUUGCACAGAGGAGAUGGGAAAAUCACAAAGCCCUUAAGGUCCAGAAGAAAUGAGUGUCACUACGUUGGGCUCCCAGGCUGUGCAACAAGCUGUGGACGGAGAUGUCCGGGCAGGGAGCCCGGUCCAGCUCCCCACCCAUCGCAUCAUGGAGUCAGCCGUCUCCUCUGGGGACUGCACCCUCUGGGUGCUGAGAAAUCCAAAUGGCUCUUUCUCAUGCAGCCGCCCCAAGUGGGCAGGAUGGCCCUUCUCUUGAUUUGUUUCCUGCUUACUUUGUGAGAGUCAAAGUGCAUCCUUCAGGACCAAAGUGGCCAAGGGGCCAGCAUGUUAUUUAGAGUGAUCAAAAUGGACCAUUUUCAACUUGGCCCUAUUUCAGCUCCAGAGCUGUGGUUUCCACUUGCUUUUACUUAUCUGUAUUUUCUAACAUUUCUUUAGCAAAUUUGUAUUACUUUGGCAAUUAGAAAAAAUGACCAGUAAUUUUUAUAAAAGGAUUUGUGUUUGAUUUCCUUUCAGAAAGGCACUUUCAUUUAUUAAAAGAUCACAAUGAGAAGUGAAAUUAAGUUGAUCUUUCUCUCUGGCAAGGAUGUGUGGGGAGGAAUGGGGAGGUGAAUGCUGGGAGCAGAAGCCACAGCUGCAGAGCACUGCAGUGAGUGAAGGCUAGAUCAGGAGACUGGACCAGGAGGCUGGACCAAUUGGCUCUGUGGUCCUAGGCAAGUCACUCAGUGUCUCUGGGUUUCUAUUGCUAGAUGUUUGGUUUCAUUAUUUCUGGAGUUCUUUCCAGGAAUUCUCUGUAUGGAUACAGUCUUUGAGCUUUAGUGAACGUUCAUAUACGCUGUAGGAGAACAUGUAAUGGCUCAGAAAUGUGUUCAGCAUAAAUUCUGUUUGUCUUUGCGGUCCUGUGAGACUGCUGAAAGUUCUGCUCAGCUUCUCUGCUUCUUAGCAUUUGGUUUCUUCUCAGCUUCUCAGUCUCUCCGUUUAGCUCUUUAUGAAUUGGCAAAUUCAUGGAAAAGAGCACAUAGAAUGUCAGGCCCCUGCUCCAUUCAUUUCUCUUCACCCUGAGAUCUUGAUCCCUCAAGUUCUGGCUUCCUGGAUAGCUCUUUCGUGCCUUCUAACAGAUUUUUAUUUUCUUUGAACAAUUCUACCCAGGUUUUCUAAUUGUUUAUGGAGAAGAUUGAUCUUCACAAGCUAGUUUUUUCAUAGGCAAAAGCAAAAGUCUCUUCCUGUGUUAUUAAGUGAAAAUGGCUGAUUAUAAAAAGGCCCUGGGUCAGGAGGUUGCCGAUUCCAGGAAGAAUCAGACCUUAUCCCUGCCCUUGAGUCUCAAGAAGAGGAAAGGAAAACAAAUAAGCAUAGUACAGUGUGAAAAGUGGGACUGUGGUCAAAUUUCAGUCUGCAAACUCAGAAUGGAUGAAAUAUGAAAGACUGACAACAUCAAGUUGUCAAGUAGGACAGGAUGUGGAACCACUGGAACUCAUACGUGACUGAUGGGAAUGCAAAAUGAUACCGAUCCCUUGGAAAACUCCUUGGCAACUUUAAUAAACAUAAAUCUACCCUAUGAUCCAGAAAUUCCACUCUGAGUCACGUCUCCAAGAGCAAUGAAAAUAUAUACCCACAAAAGACUGCACAUAAAUCAGAACAGCAUUGUUGAUAAUAGCCCAAACUGGAAACAACCUAAAUAUUCACCAAUAGAAGCCUGAAUAAAUUCAUACUGUGGGAUACUCUACAGCAAUGAGGUAGAUGAACUAUUACUGCCUACAACAACAUGAAAGAAAGUAAAAGUCACUACUUUGAUAAUUAUAAACACAAAAAAGUAAACAUAUCAUUCUAUUCAUAUGAAGAGUUAUCUAAAUAAUUAGUAAAAUUGAUCUAUGAUUUUAGAAGUGGUACCUCUGGAGGAGAAGGAGGGGUACUGUUACUGACUGAGAAGGGAGUUCUGGAAAAAUUCUAUACUUUGAUCUUUGGGAUGGUUACACAGAUGUAUAGACAGGCAAAAAUUCAUUGAACUUUACAUUUAUUAUUUGUACAUUUUACCAUAUGCAAAUUGUCCCUCAAUUUAAAAAAUCUCAUUUUCCUUAAAAAAACACAGAGGCAAACAUUUCAAAAACAAUAUCUCACCUUAGAUGAGAU